RNAcentral lists this ribosomal RNA (497 nucleotides) under uncultured bacterium. RNAcentral's name for it is "partial 16S ribosomal RNA". It matches the Rfam family "Bacterial small subunit ribosomal RNA", at positions 28 to 507 of the family's 1533-position model. The record is from RNAcentral.
GAUGAACGCUGGCGGCGUGCCUAAUACAUGCAAGUCGAGCGAACAGACGAGGAGCUUGCUCCUCUGACGUUAGCGGCGGACGGGUGAGUAACACGUGGAUAACCUACCUAUAAGACUGGGAUAACUUCGGGAAACCGGAGCUAAUACCGGAUAAUAUAUUGAACCGCAUGGUUCAAUAGUGAAAGACGGUUUUGCUGUCACUUAUAGAUGGAUCCGCGCCGCAUUAGCUAGUUGGUAAGGUAACGGCUUACCAAGGCAACGAUGCGUAGCCGACCUGAGAGGACGAUCAGCCACACUGGAACUGAGACACGGUCCAGACUCCUACGGGAGGCAGCAGUAGGGAAUCUUCCGCAAUGGGCGAAAGCCUGACGGAGCCACGCCGCGUGAGUGAUGAAGGUCUUCGGAUCGUAAACCUCUGUUAUUAGGGAAGAACAAAUGUGUAAGUAACUAUGCACGUCUUGACGGUACCUAAUCAGAAAGCCACGGCUAACUACGUG